Molecule: ribosomal RNA, 468 nt
Filed under: uncultured bacterium
Lineage: Bacteria
Description: partial 16S ribosomal RNA
Rfam family: Bacterial small subunit ribosomal RNA
Source: RNAcentral
GACGAACGCUGGCGGCGUGCUUAACACAUGCGAGUCGAACGGAAAGGCCCUGCUUUUGUGGGGUGCUCGAGUGGCGAACGGGUGAGUAACACGUGAGUAACCUGCCCUUGACUUUGGGAUAACUUCAGGAAACUGGGGCUAAUACCGGAUAGGAGCUCCUGCUGCAUGGUGGGGGUUGGAAAGUUUCGGCGGUUGGGGAUGGACUCGCGGCUUAUCAGCUUGUUGGUGGGGUAGUGGCUUACCAAGGCUUUGACGGGUAGCCGGCCUGAGAGGGUGACCGGCCACAUUGGGACUGAGAUACGGCCCAGACUCCUACGGGAGGCAGCAGUGGGGAAUAUUGCACAAUGGGCGGAAGCCUGAUGCAGCAACGCCGUGUGCGGGAUGACGGCCUUCGGGUUGUAAACCGCUUUCGCCUGUGACGAAGCGUGAGUGGCGGUAAUGGGUAAAGAAGCACCGGCUAACUACGUG